GCCGACAGUCUCUUAACACACUAACCCCACAUGCUAACACACUCGUGCAGCUAUUGUCAUGGUGCUGUGGGUCUUUUUGCUCUGUCUGCAGGGAUGUCUGCUCACACAUGCUCUGGACUGCACGGGCAGGAGUGUGGACUGUGUCAACACACAGAUUACAGAGGUCAAGGUUAAAGAUGAGCCCUUAUCUUCUCUGAUGAGGGCUCGAAGACAAGCUCAACUCACUCAGCGGCCUGGAUCUUAUUCAGUCAAAGGAUCUCCUAACACACUCAUCCAGCCUGACAGGUCGAGGCGACAUUUGAUUGCUAGUAAAAAAAAGCCCCACAGAUCUCGCAUCGGCUCUUACUCACUUCUUUCCCAUAACCACGCAACCAACCCACUGCAGGUGUGUAUCCACAAUCAAAAUAUCAUCAACACAAAUAAUCAAAGUGAUAGUCU
RNAcentral lists this long non-coding RNA (438 nucleotides) under Sinocyclocheilus anshuiensis. RNAcentral's name for it is "lncRNA (ENSSANG00000002161.1)". Lineage: Eukaryota; Metazoa; Chordata; Actinopteri; Cypriniformes; Cyprinidae. The record is from RNAcentral.